CCUACGGGUGGCAGCAGUGAGGAAUAUUGGUCAAUGGUCGAGAGCCUGAACCAGCCAAGUCGCGUGAGGGAGUACUGCCCUAUGGGUUGUAAACCUCUUUUGUCGGGGAGCAAAAGCCGGACGUGUCCGGCUGUGAGAGUACCCGAAGAAAAAGCAUCGGCUAACUCCGUGCCAGCAGCCGCGGUAAUACGGAGGAUGCGAGCGUUAUCCGGAUUUAUUGGGUUUAAAGGGUGCGCAGGCGGAUUUUUAAGUCAGCGGUAAAAUCGUGGGGCUCAACCCCAUCCAGCCGUUGAAACUGGGGAUCUAGAGUGUGCGAGAGGUAUGCGGAAUGCGUGGUGUAGCGGUGAAAUGCAUAGAUAUCACGCAGAACCCCGAUUGCGAAGGCAGCAUACCGGUGCACAACUGACGCUCAGGCACGAAAGCGUGGGUAUCGAACAGGAUUAGAUACCCGGGUAGUC
This 458-nucleotide ribosomal RNA is filed under the name uncultured bacterium. RNAcentral describes it as "partial 16S ribosomal RNA". It matches the Rfam family "Bacterial small subunit ribosomal RNA", at positions 338 to 795 of the family's 1533-position model. The record is from RNAcentral.